CUAAGCAACCUAAACAACAUUGUAUAUCAUUACACCAUUGUAUAUCAUUACACCAUUAUAAAUCAUUACACAAAUUUAAACAUCAUUGAAAGUCAUCAAAACCGUCAUCAUCUUCAUCAUCAUCUUCAUGAUCAUCAUCAUUAUCUUCAUCAUCAUCUUCAUUAUCAUCUUCCUCUUCUUCAUUGUGCUCAACAUCAUCAUCAUCUUGAUUUUCAUCAUCUCGCAAUUCGUCUUCUUCAUAAUCAUCAUCUUGAUUUU
RNAcentral lists this long non-coding RNA (258 nucleotides) under Daucus carota (carrot). RNAcentral describes it as "long non-coding RNA (DCAR_LNC007552)". Lineage: Eukaryota; Viridiplantae; Streptophyta; Magnoliopsida; Apiales; Apiaceae. The record is from RNAcentral.